Molecule: ribosomal RNA, 354 nt
Filed under: uncultured Glomeraceae
Lineage: Eukaryota; Fungi; Glomeromycota; Glomeromycetes; Glomerales; Glomeraceae
Description: bacterial SSU rRNA
Rfam family: Eukaryotic small subunit ribosomal RNA
Source: RNAcentral
AGCAGCCGCGGUAAUUCCAGCUCCAAUAGCGUAUAUUAAAGUUGUUGCAGUUAAAAAGCUCGUAGUUGAAUUUCGGGAUCAUCAGGUUGGUCGUGCCUCUGGUAUGUACUUUCCUCGAUGGUUCCUCCUUCUUGAAGAACCGUAAUGCCAUUAAUUUGGUGUUGCGGGGAAACAGGACUGUUACUUUGAAAAAAUUAGAGUGUUCAAAGCAGGCUUAUGUCUGAAUACAUUAGCAUGGAAUAAUAAAAUAGGACGGUGGUCCUGUUUUGUUGGUUUCUGAAUCACCGUAAUGAUUAAUAGGGAUAGUUGGGGGCAUUAGUAUUCAAUUGUCAGAGGUGAAAUUCUUGGAUUUAU